GACGAACGCUGGCGGCGUGCUUAACACAUGCAAGUCGAACGGUGAAGCGCCUUCCUUUUUGGUGGGUGUGGAUGAGUGGCGAACGGGUGAGUAACACGUGAGUAACCUGCCCCCUUCUUCUGGAUAACCGCAUGAAAGUGUGGCUAAUACGGGAUAUUCUGGGUCUGUCGCAUGAUGGGUCUGGGAAAGAUAUUGUUUCGGUGGGGGAUGGGCUCGCGGCCUAUCAGCUUGUUGGUGGGGUGAUGGCCUACCAAGGCGGUGACGGGUAGCCGGCCUGAGAGGGUGGACGGUCGCACUGGUACUGAGCCACGGUCGGGACUCCUACGGGCGGCAGCAGUGAGGAGUAUUGCACAAUGGGCGCAAGCCUGAUGCAGCGGCGCCGCGUGGGGGAUGGAGGCCUUCGGGUUGUGAACCUCUUUCGCCAGUGAAGCAGGCCUGCCUCGUUUGUGGGUGGGUUGACGGUAGCUGGAUAAGAAGCGCCGGCUAACUACGUG
RNAcentral lists this ribosomal RNA (494 nucleotides) under uncultured bacterium. RNAcentral's name for it is "partial 16S ribosomal RNA". It matches the Rfam family "Bacterial small subunit ribosomal RNA", at positions 28 to 507 of the family's 1533-position model. The record is from RNAcentral.